Molecule: non-coding RNA, 3803 nt
Organism: Pelobates cultripes (western spadefoot toad)
Lineage: Eukaryota; Metazoa; Chordata; Amphibia; Anura; Pelobatidae
Source: the annotation of a GenBank genome assembly
CUUUAUUUUGAGAAGAGACCUACAUAAACUAUGUCAGGAUACAUAUUUAAUUACACUUUCAUCAAUCAGUAGAUGGGGCAAUUAACAUAACACUGAAGAGUAUGAUAGCAUGAAGAAGACAACAGAGACAUAUUGUAAAUGAGUAUUUACAGCAGUAAUGUCAGGUGUUUGUUUUAUAUAUAUAUUUAUAUAUAGGUAAAAAAGUCUUUUCUUUUAACAAAAGUCAAGGAAAGUGUACACCAUUUGAAUGCAGCAGUAAGCUAUGUCCUUAAGGUGGAGCUAGAGAACCUUUGGGCUGAUUAAAGAACACACAGGAGUAAUAUUUUGCAGAGGGAGUUAAAGAGGAAAGAGUUGUGUACAGUGAUGGCUUUGGUGGUGCUAUAAAACAAAUUAUUUUUUCAUAUUUAAGCACAUUGUUCAUUGUUGUUUAGAUGAACUCCAAACUUUCAGACCUUUUCAUAAAACAGCAAGCUAGUUAUGUUAAUGUACACAUUACAAAUUAGACAUUUCAAUUACAUUCUGGUAUAUCUCAAAGCGGACUCUUUUUUAUUCUAGCAUCUACUAGAAUCUACACUAGAAGCUAUUGAUAAACCUUGUAAAGUACCAUUGAAGAUUACUUGUGAAACCUGGAAUUGCAUUCCGAUCAGAUUUUUAAGCAGGACUUUCAAUGACUAUCUUUUUCAUGUUAGAUGUGAUAUUAUUUUUUGAUAGAUUUAUCACUACUGAGCUUUCUCACUCAAUAUUUUCCAAUGGUAAUUAGUUUCAGUUGUUUAUUUUUCAAGAAAAACAAAAUAGGUAACAAAAUGACAGAGUUGAAUGACAUCAAUAUGCAUUCGCAAAUCCAAAACUGUACAAAUAUUCAAAUGAUCAAUUAGGUUUAAGCAGUAAAUAACAAUUGGUGCUGAGGGACUUGCAAGAUUUCAUCUUAAAUUGACCAAUUGGGCAAUGUCAACUGAAAUGGAGAUUUUUUUCAAGAUCUGCUAUUUUGCCUUAAAUUUUGCAAGUUGGUUGGAUAGUGGCCACAAGUUGCUAUUUACUCAUUAAAUUCCAGGUCAUAAUGAAUGCAUUUAUAUCGCUAUCAGAUAUAGGCAUCUUGUAUUAGAUCAACAUUAGUCAAGGCAGGAAGCCAGAACUAGCUUAUCUAAUAUUUCUAUACAUAGUCCCAUUAAACUGAAAAACUACAAGUUCAGAGACCAAUUAUUACAACAAAAGUUCACAUAUACAUAGUUCUACUUAUAAAGUGAAAAGGUAAAACCUAAACUAUAGUAAAGAACAUUUUCUAAAGAAAAUGACACAGUGGCAUAGUGAUCCAUGUUAGCAAGGAUUUCAAGAACAAUUCUGACAAAUAUAAAAGAAAGCAAAUUUUUGAUGAAAAGCUCAUAAAUUUUAGGCAAGAUUAAAACAAAGUUUGGAAUGUGUUACACUUGAAAUAACAAGCCAUGACAUUUUCUAAAAAAAAGUUUUUAAGUUACUUAUAUUGACAUUCAUUAUCUAUAUAGCCAGCAAGGUUUGCAACACUUUAUAUGGACCAUCCUGUGUCUUUUGUUUUCAGAAUGCUUAGCUCCCAUCUAAAGUCAUAUUAUUUCUACAAUCCAUUUCCACCAUAACCAACUGAUUGACUGGUUGAUUGACAGGAGAUUACUACAUAUUCAUAAAGGAAUUCAAAAAGGACUUGCCAACAGGAACCAUGAUAGCGUGUAACCACAAUUAAAUACAAACACAUAGAGGCCUUUUAGUUACACCAUUUAAAGCUUUCUUGAAAGCAAAUAGAUAGCAUUCUUUUUGGAACAAAAAGCAGACAAUGUUCAACAGCAACAAUGCAGUCUCCAGUACAGUAUUGAGUCUCCCGACAAGAGAGAAACAUUAAAAUCUGUCAUAGUCUCAUUUAUUUGAAGAAAGAAAUAAGCAAUGAGCAUUGAAUACUUUUCAAAACAGUGACACAAUUUUCAACUACUGUAUACAGAGUUUAAACAUGAACAUCUAAAGAUCAGACCUUUUAAGUGCAUCAUCGAUGGCUUUCAGUAUUAAAAACACUUCACAACACUAAAUGAAAGGUGACAAUUACCACUUUUUGAGAAACAUCGUAUGUCAAAACAUUGCAUAGCCAGGCCAAAACAUGACACAAUACCCUGCUGUCCUGCUAGUGAUCACAUGACACCCAAAUAUACCCUCUUCUUUGGGAUAAAUUAUACACAUGGUGAGCUAGUCUUACCUGCCACUCAAAGCUCUAUGAUAGGAACAUUAUCAUUUUACAAAAUAGCUAUUGAGAAAAAUUAGAGGUUACAUUUAAUGUUGACAUUUAUUUUAAAUGUUAACUGAAACCUUGCUGUGGGACUGAUUUACUGUUAAAAUUCUCGUCAAACUUUACCUUAACAAAACUAUACUAUUUAUAGACAGGGUUCUAUAUAGGUGUUUUUUUAAAUCAAUAGUAAAAAAAUAAAUACUUAACAUAAUAAUGAUCCCCAGGAGAUCUUGUGUUUUUCCAUCUACCUAAAAUUAAUAAACAUGAAUAUCAUUUGUUUAUGGCAUAAAUUCAAAGCUUUAACCCUUUCACUGCUAGAACUUUGUAAUACUUUUCCCAUCACUCUAACGCAAAGGGUUAAUUGAAAUGUUUUGUGCAGUAGUGCUCACGUGCACUAAUCUGUUAUAUGACAAGCAUGGGGGAAAAGAUAUUUAAUUUCUUAUAUUUUAAUGUACGCAAUAUAAUCUUCAGUAAUUAUAAUCCAUAUAUAAAUAAAUUAUAUUAAUACUUAUUCUUUCUGAGUUGUACAGAUAGAUCUGUACGAGGAACAUAUUUUCUAGAAAUGAAAUGUGCCUUUGACUUUCUAGGUUACCAAUAAAAUAUAUAUCUUAAAUACUAUCUAAUGCCGUCAUUUCAAGCACCACAAGAUAGGGUAAUAUAUGAGAAGCAGAAAUGGAAUAAAGAAUGCUAUGAUUUUGAUUUAAACGUAAUUCAUAAAUAUUGAGCAUUUCUUGGAGCUACAAGCAGGAAUAUUCACAUGGUAAUUGCAUAUAGGUGGAGAUUGUUCCAUAUUUAGCAAUUUACCCUAGAAUCGCUCUAGAGUUUUUUCUUGCUAACAUUAAAUAACAUGUUCUGCUAGACUUGAAUAGAUACUCAAAUGUAAAAGGUGCUCUGCAGGUAGCUACUCAAAAUGUCACAAGCAUUCAGCAGGCAAUACAACUGUGACUUGCAGUAUAAUUCAACAAUAUGCGAUGAAGCUAUGUGAACUAGAUCACAGACCAGUUGUACUUGAUAAAUCAAUGGAACUAGCAGCUGUAAACGAAGCAGUAUGUCUGCAGGCUCAUGUGCUUUAAAAGAACAUAAUCUGAGUUUUUUUUUCCUAAGCUAUAAUGACAUUCACAGCCCGAUAUACAAUUUGUCUUUAGAACGGAAAUUGAAUGUAUUGAAUGUCAAGAAUGUCAAUCUAUAAAGAAUCCACCCUAUAAUAUCUGUUUGUGAUGCAGAAUCCACUAGGAAAAAUUAAGUAUGCACAUUGAGAUAGUUCCUGAGAAAAAAAUGCUAGUAAGUGGCAUAGUCACACACUCGCACACACAUGCACGCGCACACACACACGCACACAUACACACAAAUAUGCAUACACACACAUUUGCACUAAAUAGCUAGCUCAUUUAAUUGUGUUUGUAAUUAUGUUGCAAUUUAGUAAACAACUCAAAAUCUCUAAGUAGUGAUGUCCCGAACGGUUCGCCGAACGGUUCGCGAACGGUUCGCCACGAAAGGUUCGCCACGGACUCAUCAUUGAGUAAACUUUGACCCUGUACCUCACAGUCAGCAGACACAUUCC